Molecule: long non-coding RNA, 400 nt
Organism: Lemur catta (Ring-tailed lemur)
Lineage: Eukaryota; Metazoa; Chordata; Mammalia; Primates; Lemuridae
Exons: 4
Source: RefSeq, a predicted model, not a curated record
GCCAGUCUCUGCGCUCAUCCCUUCGGUCCCCAAGCCCAUGGGCAGAAUGGGGCAUGGAGGAAAAAGAAAGCCAGGUGGAGGAAGAUUUAGUAGUUUCCAGUUGGCCUUUCCCACUAUAAUAGAUCGUACCCUUCAGACCUACGGAAAAGAGCAAUCAUAGAGGUCUUCAAGGAUGCUGGAGCUCCCCUCAUAAAUUUAUUUUUCACAGUCGUGGUGAAAGGUCUCUACUACCAUGCUGGAAAAAAGAGGUGCCACAUCUAAGUUUUUAGUGGAUAUCUUUUACCAAAUAAGGAAGUUGUUUUCUGUAUCUAUUUUGCUAAAGCUUUUUCUUAUGAAAGAGUGUUAAAUUGUACACAAUAUUAAUGUAAUGAAUUCCAUUUUGAUGUUAGCAUAUCCUUGA